ACGGAAGGCAGCAGUGGGGAAUAUUGGGCAAUGGGCGCAAGCCUGACCCAGCAACGCCGCGUGAAGGAUGAAGGUCUUCGGAUUGUAAACUUCUUUGAUCAGGGACGAAUAAAUGACGGUACCUGAAGAACAAGUCACGGCUAACUACGUGCCAGCAGCCGCGGUAAUACGUAGGUGACAAGCGUUAUCCGGAUUUACUGGGUGUAAAGGGCGUGUAGGCGGUUUGGCAAGUCAGAAGUGAAAUUCCCGGGCUUAACUUGGGCGCUGCUUCUGAAACUGCUUUACUUGAGUACUGGAGAGGAUAGUGGAAUUCCUAGUGUAGCGGUAAAAUGCGUAGAUAUUAGGAGGAACACCAGUGGCGAAGGCGGCUUGCUGGACGAUAACUGACGUUGAGGCUCGAGAGCGUGGGGAGCAAACAGGAUUAGAUACCCUGGUA
RNAcentral lists this ribosomal RNA (436 nucleotides) under uncultured Saccharofermentans sp. RNAcentral describes it as "partial 16S ribosomal RNA". It matches the Rfam family "Bacterial small subunit ribosomal RNA", at positions 341 to 792 of the family's 1533-position model. Lineage: Bacteria; Bacillati; Bacillota; Clostridia; Eubacteriales; Oscillospiraceae. The record is from RNAcentral.